UGAGACUUAGAGUCUCCUGAAGGAACGUUGAAGACGACGACGUUGAUAGGCCGGGUGUGUAAGCGCAGCGAUGCGUUGAGCUAACCGGUACUAAUGAACCGUGAGGCUUAACCUU
Molecule: ribosomal RNA, 115 nt
Filed under: Escherichia coli
Lineage: Bacteria; Pseudomonadati; Pseudomonadota; Gammaproteobacteria; Enterobacterales; Enterobacteriaceae
Also listed under: 19 other names
Description: partial 23S ribosomal RNA
Rfam family: Bacterial large subunit ribosomal RNA
Source: RNAcentral